Long non-coding RNA from Panicum virgatum (switchgrass), 584 nucleotides. RefSeq lists it as uncharacterized. The transcript is spliced from 2 exons. The record is from RefSeq and is a predicted model, not a curated record. NCBI's taxonomy places the organism in Eukaryota, Viridiplantae, Streptophyta, Magnoliopsida, Poales, Poaceae.
CUCCCCGGUCUAUAAAUGCUGUCCUCUCCACCACUCCUUCCAAGUUCCAAGAGAGGAGAAGAUCAGGAUAGAAUCGAAGGAACCCUUGCCCAGUUGCUGCCCCUCCCCUCUCCUUUGUCCAUCAGCUGACUAGCUGAGUAGUUCACCACCACCAAGUCAGGCAAGAUGUACAACGCUCCAUCCGCGCAGGAGAUGUCCUACUUCGACCAUGUGCAGAGGCGCCAUGAGGAGAAGGGCUGCCUCUACGCAUGCAUCUUCACGGCGCUGUGCUGCUUCUGCUGCUACGAGACCUGCGAGUGCUGCCUCGACUGCCUCUGCUGCUGCUGCAACUAGGCCGCCGCCUGCUGCUUCAGAAGGCCUGAUGGAGAUGGAGAUGGCCUCUGUCUUUCUUACCUCAAAAUCAAGUAGCCUGCUUGGCUGCUUGCUUUAGCCUGGUUGUGAAGAGCAUAAUAAAGCAUGUUGCCCUGUAGUUAUUCUGUCAGUAUGAACAUUUGUGUGUUCUGAACAGGGUUCUGUUAGUACUGUAACCAAUGGUUUGAACUGCCGCAUCAUAUUGUCAGUAUCCGAUUCCGAUUCUGAACCCA